GGGGAAUAUUGCACAAUGGGCGAAAGCCUGAUGCAGCAACGCCGCGUGAGGGAUGACGGCCUUCGGGUUGUAAACCUCUUUCAGUAGGGAAGAAGCGAAAGUGACGGUACCUACAGAAGAAGCACCGGCUAACUACGUGCCAGCAGCCGCGGUAAUACGUAGGGUGCGAGCGUUGUCCGGAAUUAUUGGGCGUAAAGAGCUUGUAGGCGGUUUGUCGCGUCUGCCGCGAAAAUCCGGGACUCAACCCCGGACCUGCGGUGGGUACGGGCAGACUAGAGUGUGGUAGGGGAGACUGGAAUUCCUGGUGUAGCGGUGAAAUGCGCAGAUAUCAGAGGAACACCGAUGGCGAAGGCAGGUCUCUGGGCCACUACUGACGCUGAGAAGCGAAAGCGUGGGGAGCGAAC
Molecule: ribosomal RNA, 404 nt
Filed under: uncultured bacterium
Lineage: Bacteria
Description: bacterial SSU rRNA
Rfam family: Bacterial small subunit ribosomal RNA
Source: RNAcentral